GAAAUGCGAUAAGUAGUACGAAUUGCAGAACUCCGCGAGUGAUCGAAUCUUUGAACGCACAUUGCGCCCUCUGGUAGCCCGGAGGGCACGCCUGUUCGAGCGUCAUUACACCCCUCAAGCCUGGCUUGGUCUUGGGCCACGCCCCCUCGGGGACGGGCCUCAAACCCCUGGGCGGUGCCGCCUCCCCUCCAGCGCGACAGGGAGACUCUCCACGCGCUGGCCGGGACGACGCCCGCCGCGACUGGCCCCUGCGGCCCCACGGUCUGACCUCGGAUCAGGCGGGAGUACCCGCUGAACUUAA
This 301-nucleotide unclassified non-coding RNA is filed under the name uncultured Ascomycota. Its description in RNAcentral is "sequence contains ITS1". The stretch from base 1 to 105 matches the Rfam family "5.8S ribosomal RNA", at positions 50 to 154 of the family's 154-position model. Lineage: Eukaryota; Fungi; Ascomycota. The record is from RNAcentral.